UACGAAGGUGGCAAGCGUUGUUCGGAUUUACUGGGCGUACAGGGAGCGUAGGCGGUUUGGUAAGCCCUCCGUGAAAUCUUCGGGCUCAACCCGGAAAGUUCAGAGGGGACUGCCAGGCUAGAGGACGGGAGAGGAGCGCGGAAUUCCCGGUGUAGCGGUGAAAUGCGUAGAGAUCGGGAGGAAGGCCGGUGGCGAAGGCGGCGCUCUGGAACGUUUCUGACGCUGAGGCUCGAAAGCGUGGGGAGCAAACAGGAUUAGAAACCCGUGUAGU
Molecule: ribosomal RNA, 271 nt
Filed under: uncultured bacterium
Lineage: Bacteria
Description: partial 16S ribosomal RNA
Rfam family: Bacterial small subunit ribosomal RNA
Source: RNAcentral